AGACGAUUGCUGCUAGGGGUGGGGGACGCUUCCAGAGAUCAGAGGCGGGAGACUGUUUACCGGACUGAGCCCUCCCGCUCACACAGUGAGCGGCAGACCGGAUGACCUCAGCCUGGUGCACUGCCCUCUUCCCCUCUCGAGGUCCCGGGGAGGAGUCGCCCGUGCGGACUGAACAAAGUCGAGUUCCUGCGCUGGUCCCGCACAGAGGCCGAAGGAAAGGGCAGGGAUGAGGCUGUGCCUGCUGGGCUGCUUGGUGGCCGCACUGAUUUGGGAGGGGGCCGGCAUCCCCCUGGGAAGGGCUCCAACACGGGAGGAGUCAAAGGAACAGGUCAAGAUCAAGAGACUCAAGCAUCAUCGUUUUCACCCUUCUAACAGGAUACCGUUCCAAAUGAGGACCGUCGAACAACCUCUACUACAGGCAUUUAAGAGAGAUUGGAAUUCCUCAGAAGACUUCCCCAUAUGCUGCGAUGGCAGCGUGGACGGGCCCGAGAGCAGAAAGGAAGGAGGGGAAGCCGGCAGGAAUUCUUCCACGGAGGACAUAUACGUGAUAUUCGGGACGUUCGUGGAUCCUGCCGAGGAGGGAACAUUGGAAAGAAGGAGCCGUUGUGAAGGCUGUUGUGGAGAGAGAGUCACUUUGGGGCCGGAAUCCUGGAGAAGCCAGGAGGAGGCCGGGGAUGUUCCGGGUACCGGAACCACUCACAUGGAGAAGACCGGGGAAAUGAAGGUCAUCAAUCUGCAUGAUAACAUCAACUUGACUUUUGCUUUGAGCAGACCCUUCACCCAAGUCUGGAAGAAAGAAAGUGACCUCUGUGCUGGCUGCUGCCCUGACCCCAGGACCCACCGAUCAGAAGUCCCUGCAGAUGGAGAGGAAGGAGGAGUGGUCGGGAGCUCUCCUGGGCUGGCCAGUGUCCAAGGACCACAGAAUUCCUGGACCAGACUGGGCCAUUUGAUCCGCAGGAUUCAGGUUCAUUAUCCGAACGGGAGCUACCAGAUGUAUGAAACAUACAAGUUACAAAUGCCUUUACAGACCUGUCUCCCAUGUCCCACAGUUAGAGAGUACAACUUGACGGAGACAAAAGUCUUCAUUGUCGACUAGGAUCCUGGAGGAUACUUCUGGGGUAACCCAGGGCCCCCCACCCAGCCAAUACACCCUCAGGAGGAGAAAACACAGAGAAGAACCCAGGGAGGGUCUUACUGCUCAAGGCCAUCCAAGGACCAAUUAAGUUAAACUGGUGUCAACCCAACCCGGCCCUGUGGAAUCCAGAACAACCAAUCUGGUCUCUCUCUCUCUCUCUCUGGUAGCACCAAGCUUAGGUGGCUACUCUUCCUGCUUCCAAUCGCUCUUUCCUUCCUCCCCCACGCUCGGUCUCUUGUGUCUUUACACCGAUCUGGCCUGCAGCCCAGCUUCCUCCCCUCCCCUGCGAGGCCACUACUCUCUGUAACAGUCACCAAGAAGCCUCAGGUUGGGCAGGAAACGGUUAACCCCGCAGGGAAUGAUGGAGGAAUCUGGGAAUAAAGGAGUUGGAGAUCUGUUCUCAGUGCCCUUGUCUUGGGGGGGACAGUCGAUGCUGAGAGUCUCCAGGAGGAAAAAUUGGGCUCCCCUUAAUAAUAAUAGUAAUUACUAAUUAUUAUGUAUUACUAUAGUAUUAAGUGCUGGAGCAGAGCCAAGAUAAUCAUGUUGCACACAGUCCUUGUCUCACAGGGGUUUCACAGACUAGACAGAAGGAAGUAGAAUUUAAUCCACAUUUAAUAGAUGAGGAAACAGACACGGAGAAGUUAAGUGAUUUGCCCAAAGUCACCCAGCGGGCAACUGGCAGAGAUGACAUUUGAACCCAGGUCCUCUGGCUCCCAGGCCCGGGGUCUUUCUACGGCUUCCGUUAAUCUUGUCUGUGGCAGACAGGAGUCCUCUCGGGGCUGACAAAUCACCACCACCCCUUCCUGCUGUCGCCGGAGUCAUAUUGAGGUUUGAUUCCAACUGAGUCUUCCGUAACUCAACCCAGUUUCUAAGUUAAAAUCUUGGAACUAGGCUUCUGUGAGGCAGGCAACUGUUUCCACAGUAACGGGCAUCUACAAAGACGCCCCCCGCCCAAUUUUACUUUCUCUUCUGGAACCUCGCCCAGGCCAAGGGACAACCACUCCCUCCCAAUCUCCCCAGAACCAGGUGGGGCUGGCCACCGCACGCAAAAUUACCGGCCACCGCAAAGCCCAUGUCGUCACAUGUGCUAGGUCAGGCCUGCAGUGUACCGUAUUGACAUCGUAUAUGACAUUUUGAGGUCUUCCACCUGUGUCCUCCUGAAUCGAGCGUGUUUCUCUGAUUCCCCAACUCUCACUCACUCCCCAGUUUUGUGUCCCCUUCCCAAGUCCGUGUGAAUAUAGACGCCGCUUCCAAGCCGUGGAACGCAGCGUUCGGCUUGACGGCGGAGGAGGACGGAUACCUUUUUUUAUGGUAUUUGUUAAGUACUUACUAAGAGUCAAACACCGUUCUAAGCACUGGGGUAAGUACAUACUAAUUAGGUCGGACACAAUCCCUGUCCCUCACGGGGCUCACAGCCUAAGUAGGAGGCAGAAAAGGGAUUAAAUUCCCACUUUAUAGUCGAUGAAACUGAAGCACAGAAAAGUUAAGUGACUUGUCCAAGAUCACACACCAAGCAGUUGGCAGAGCUAUUGGAUGGGGUGGGAUUCAAACCCAGGUCCUCUGACUCCCAGGCCCGGGCCUUUUCCAUUAGGCCAUGAUGCCUUGGUACUUAGCCCCAAAUCCCAGACCUAAAGGCGUCUGGUGUCCUAAUUGCCUCAGCCUGGGACAGACCAGCUGAAAAAUGACCCGUCUGAUGUAAAACUGGGUGAAUGGCCACUUUACAGAGCAAUAAUCAAGAGCCAGGAUUAGAACCCAGGUCCUCUGACUCCCGGGCCUGGGGUCUUUCCAUUAGGCCACACUGCUUCAUCUGUCACCAUCUGCCCUGCUUCUAGAAGUGCCUGAACCCUGACAGAGCCCUGGGGAGUAGCAGCAGGGGGAGGAGGCAAAUCUGUAGUAUUCAUUCAAUAUUCAUUCAAUAGUAUUUAUUGAGCGCUUACUAUGUGCAGAGCACUGUACUAAGCGCUUGGGAUGAACAAGUCGGCAACAGAUAGAGACGGUCCCUGCCGUUUGACGGGCUCACGGUCUAAUCGGGGUAGAUGGACGGACAAGAACAAUGGCGAUUAUAUAGAGUCGAGGGGAAGAACAUCUCGUAAAAACCGAUGGCGACUAAAUAGAAUCGAGGCGAUGUACAAUUCAUUAACAAAAUAAAUAGGGUAACGGAAAUAUAUACAGUUGAGCGGACGAGUACAGUGCUGUGGGGAGGGGAAGGGAGAGGUGGAGGAGCAGAGGGAAAGGGGGAAAAGAGGGUUUAGCUGUGGAGAGGUGAAGGGGGGGCGGUAGAGGGAGUAGAAGGAGAAGGGAGCUCAGUCUGGGAAGGCCUCUCGGAGGAGGUGAGUUUUAAGUAGGGUUUCGAAGAGGGGAAGAGAAUCAGUUUGGCGGAGGUGAGGAGGGAGGGCGUUCCGGGACCGCGGGAGGACGCGGCCCGGGGGUCGUCGGCAGGAUAGGCGAGACCGAGGGACGGCGAGGAGGUGGGCGGCGGAGGAGCGGAGCGUGCGGGGUGGGUGGUAGAAAGAGAGACGGGAGGAGAGGUAGGAAGGGGCAAGGUGAUGUAGAGCCUCGAAGCCUAGAGUGAGGAGUUUUUGUUUGGAGCGGAGGUCGAUAGGCAACCACUGGAGUUGUUUAAGAAGGGGAGUGACAGGCCCAGAUCGUUUCUGCGGGAAGAUGAGCCGGGCAGCGGAGUGAAGAAUAUACCGGAGCGGGGCGAGAGAGGAGGAAGGGAGGUCAGAGAGAAGGCUGACACGGUAGUCUAGCCGGGAUAUAACGAGAGCCCGUAGCGGUAAGGUAGCCGUUUGGGUGGAGAGGAGAGGGCGGAUCUUGGCGAUAUUGUAUAGGUGAAACCGGCAGGUCUUGGUAAUCGCCCCUUCAUCUCCACCCAGGUCUGGGCUGUUCGCCCAGGGCCUUUGCGCUCUGCCAAUGUCAGAAGGGGGAGAGUGUUUACCAAGCGGAGGCCCAGCUCCCCCACAGGGUGCAGCCCAAUGACCCAAGCCUCGGGGACUGCUCUCUCCACACUCUGGGGUAGAGGAGAGGGCCCCCACUGAAGCCGCAGUGACGGGAAGAGAUGAGGCUGGGACCACUGGGCUUCUUGGUGGCCGGGCUGGCCCUGGGGGUAGCCAGCAGCCCCCUGGGAAAGGCCCCCGCCCAGAGGUUACAGGUACAGGACGUGGGAGUGGGCACGGGGACACCAGAGGAACGGGGGUAACGGUCAAUUCAUGGAGGCAAAGGGGGUUCGCGGGGCUGAGGCGGAGACGGAGACCGGGGCCAGGGAGCGAGGGCAGGGUCCCCCUUCCCUUGUCCCUCUUCCACCCAUCGGGGCCAUGCAGACCCCUCCAUCUCCCCCCUCGUUCACAAAGUUAAUCCCGGCCCGGACGUCUUCCCGACUCCUCCCUCUGCCACCUAAUUCAUUUCUCCUCUUGACUGAGGGUUCCUCACAAACCUCUCUGACCAUCCCUAAACUGAGUCACCCUCCCUGGGUAUGUUUUCCAUAUCACAGUAUUUCUGUUCCCUGUACUAGAGUUUCCCAGAUAGGAGAUUGUGGAUAGGUUGGGGGAUCUGGGCUGGCUAGAGAUUCCGGAGCCGUUGGGCAUUCUGGAGCAGCUGGGGAUUCUAGAGCCGUUGGGCUGACCCGUUUCAGUAGGGGGUAGGCGUCCUCUUGAAGGCCCUUUGUGGGGUCAGUUUCCUGUUUGCUUCAACAGGUGCCCUGGUGCCUUGGCGACCGUUUCCCUCCCACCAGAAGGCCUUGACUUUCCUGUCGGCUUUCUAGUUACCCCUUUCUCUCGUCCCUUCUCCAACCCAAUUUCUGAACAAGUAACGGCACCAAUUCUGGUGAAGCAGUACAGGUCCAAGGUGGGCGGCCCCAUCCCGGCUCCUUUCUUUCUUUCUUUUAAAUUUUAACAAUAAUAAUAAUAAUUUGUUAAGCACUUACUCUGUGCCAGGCACUGUUCUAAGUGCUGAGAUAGAUACAAUAAGAGAAAUAGUAAUUAUGGUACUCUGUUAAGUGCUUACUAUGUGCCAAUCACUGCUCUAAUCAUUGGGAUAGAUACAAGAUAAUCAGGUUGGACACAUUUAUGCUUUUUUUUUUGUAAGGUUGGACCGAUUUUUAGGAAAAGAC
This 5243-nucleotide long non-coding RNA is filed under the name Ornithorhynchus anatinus (platypus). RNAcentral's name for it is "lncRNA (ENSOANG00000049914.1)". The record is from RNAcentral. Lineage: Eukaryota; Metazoa; Chordata; Mammalia; Monotremata; Ornithorhynchidae.